GAGGGUAUAGCUCAGUGGUAGAGUGUGUGCAUAGCACGCACGAGGUCCUGGGUUCGAUCCCCAGAACCUUUG
This 72-nucleotide transfer RNA is filed under the name Camelus bactrianus (Bactrian camel). It matches the Rfam family "tRNA". Rfam says of the family: Transfer RNA (tRNA) molecules are approximately 80 nucleotides in length. Their secondary structure includes four short double-helical elements and three loops (D, anti-codon, and T loops). The record is from Rfam by way of RNAcentral. RNAcentral also lists the same sequence under 1 other name. Lineage: Eukaryota; Metazoa; Chordata; Mammalia; Artiodactyla; Camelidae.